UUACGGCCAUAUCACGUUGAAACAUCGUUUCCCGAACGAUCACCGUUGUUAAACAACAUCGAGACUGAUCAGUACCUAGAUGGGGGAUCACUUGGGAAUACCAGGUGCUGUAAG
Molecule: non-coding RNA, 114 nt
Organism: Acanthosepion pharaonis
Lineage: Eukaryota; Metazoa; Mollusca; Cephalopoda; Sepiida; Sepiidae
Source: the annotation of a GenBank genome assembly